Molecule: ribosomal RNA, 234 nt
Filed under: uncultured bacterium
Lineage: Bacteria
Description: partial 16S ribosomal RNA
Rfam family: Bacterial small subunit ribosomal RNA
Source: RNAcentral
UACGUAGGUGGCAAGCGUUGUCCGGAAUUACUGGGCGUAAAGCGUGCGCAGACGGUCACGUAAGUCGGGUGUGAAAGCCCCGGGCUCAACCUGGGAAUUGCAUUCGAGACUGCGUGGCUAGGGUGCGGAAGAGGGAAGCGGAAUUUCCGGUGUAGCGGUGAAAUGCGUAGAUAUCGGAAGGAACACCAGUGGCGAAAGGCGGCUCCUGGUCCAGCACCGACGUCAGGCACCGAA